RNAcentral lists this transfer RNA (73 nucleotides) under Chloroflexota bacterium. Its description in RNAcentral is "Chloroflexi bacterium (sediment metagenome) tRNA-Cys". It matches the Rfam family "tRNA". Rfam says of the family: Transfer RNA (tRNA) molecules are approximately 80 nucleotides in length. The record is from RNAcentral. Lineage: Bacteria; Bacillati; Chloroflexota.
AGUGGUAUGGCGAAGUGGCGAACGCGGCGGACUGCAAAUCCGCUAUUCGCGGGUUCGAUUCCCGCUGCCACCU